RNAcentral lists this ribosomal RNA (468 nucleotides) under uncultured bacterium. RNAcentral's name for it is "partial 16S ribosomal RNA". It matches the Rfam family "Bacterial small subunit ribosomal RNA", at positions 28 to 507 of the family's 1533-position model. The record is from RNAcentral.
GACGAACGCUGGCGGCGUGCUUAACACAUGCAAGUCGAACGGAAAGGCCCUGCUUUUGUGGGGUGCUCGAGUGGCGAACGGGUGAGUAACACGUGAGUAACCUGCCCUUGACUUUGGUAUAACUUCAGGAAACUGGGGCUAAUACCGGAUAGGAGCUCCUGCUGCAUGGUGGGGGUUGGAAAGUUUCGGCGGUUGGGGAUGGACUCGCGGCUUAUCAGCUUGUUGGUGGGGUAGUGGCUUACCAAGGCUUUGACGGGUAGCCGGCCUGAGAGGGUGACCGGCCACAUUGGGACUGAGAUACGGCCCAGACUCCUACGGGAGGCAGCAGUGGGGAAUAUUGCACAAUGGGCGGAAGCCUGAGGCAGCAACGCCGCGUGCGGGAUGACGGUCUUCGGGUUGUAAACCGCUUUCGCCUGUGACGAAGCGUGAGUGACGGUAAUGGGUAAAGAAGCACCGGCUAACUACGUG